This 1476-nucleotide ribosomal RNA is filed under the name Triticum aestivum (bread wheat). Its description in RNAcentral is "partial small subunit ribosomal RNA". The record is from RNAcentral. Lineage: Eukaryota; Viridiplantae; Streptophyta; Magnoliopsida; Poales; Poaceae.
AUGAAUAUUUUCUUGGCUUGUAUGCCUGGUGAACAACCAAUCGUGUUGCUGCCAGACCAUUGGUUUGUGCCGGGCAUGGAGCAUUUACAAGUGUUGCAGGGUGCCAGCGGUUUUCCUUGGUACUACUAUCUGGGAACUCUUCAUUACUUGUGCCGUCAUCUUGCAACUAAAGAUACAACAGGGUUCCUUGCAUCUUGCUCGAAUUGGAUGUCGGAGGUCAAGAACUUGGUUAGUUAUGGGGUACAAUUGUACACUGUCAAUGAUUUUUCUGAGCGGCAUCUACGUGGACCUACAACAUGUUACCCUGUUCUGAUUAACUUUUGGGCCAUGGGGACUGGGUACUUUCAAAUUCUACAGCAACUUGGUAAUAUUGAACCGAGGGAGAAUCAAAUAAGCAAAAAUAUAGAUGAGCAGUGGCCUGGUCAGCUAGUGUUCUUAUGCUUGAUCAGUGAUGGUGUGGCUUAUUGUCUUAUGACUGAUUCGCACUCAGUUGGAUUGGUGCUUUCGUCUGUGAUUUUUGAAGUUGUGGUACCACCUGUCGAGUAUGCUCCGAGGCUGCUAUGUACGCAACCUAUUACUCACAACUUGGCUACUGAUAGCAAAGAAUGUUUGGAUGCAUUAUUGCCUAUUAUACAAUAUAUUGACGAAUUGGCUGAUACGUUGUUCGAUGAGAUUGAGCCGCAGCUUGAUAUGCAUUGGAAGAAAUUUGUUGUUCAUGACAAGCCUACUAUGGCUCCCUACCAGCCUAGUACAGAGAGACCUGAAGGUGACUGUUUUUUGGGAGCGUGUGCCAUGGAUGACGUGAAUUUCUCUAUUCGUUCCAAGCAAGCUUGUUUUCAAGGAGGGAGGUGUAUCACCGUCCUCGCCACCUUCGUCGACCACAACUACUACCUCGACGCCGUCCUCAACUUGGUUCCUAUCGACAAUGAUGACUACUCUGACCUUGUUCGAGUUAACUCUGGCCACGGCUGCGGUCAUGAAGGCUAUUUCCGCCAUCUAGGCAAGCAAGCUUACUACUCCGGUCAAGCCUACACCGACCUCGGCUUCUAUUCUGAAGACUACCAUGGCAACCCUAGCAAGUUCAAGGGACUUCAAGCGCCGUGGGAUCCCGGCAAGUCAGCAUUUCAGUCUUCUCGAGCUUCGGCUUGGGGUCAAGCCGAGUUUCAAGGAGGGAGGGUGUUAGCAACCCUCCACGGGUGGGCCUUGGGCCGGCAUGAGAGGGCCGGGCCUUGCAUCCAGGCCAUGGAAGACAGUGACUACAAGUACGUGAAGGAGGGAUCGAGCAGGCAUCCAGGAGGGAUCACGAACGAACCGGCGGCGGCACUUCCUCUCCCACCUCUGGCUCUCAACCUUUCCCCUGUUCUUGCUUCUUCCAUUUCAGCACACUUGUGCUUGUACCAGAAGUGUAAUCCGAACCUAUUAGCUACUCAAUCUCACCAUAUCAAACAAUACAGAGAGAUAUCCGUGAGUAGCUAA